This 644-nucleotide long non-coding RNA is filed under the name Phaseolus vulgaris (common bean). RNAcentral describes it as "long non-coding RNA (PVUL_LNC001352)". Lineage: Eukaryota; Viridiplantae; Streptophyta; Magnoliopsida; Fabales; Fabaceae. The record is from RNAcentral.
GAUAUUUUAUCUCUAUUACUUCUGUCAAACAUGUUCUCCUCUCCCAGGUUCCAUUGUUGAUCUUCAGCCCUUUUCACUUGGGGGUGAAAGCCUGUAGUGGUGGUCAAACAAAGAUAAGAUAAGUAUAAAUUCUUCAAUAACUAAAGUUAAAAUCAUAGUGUAAUGAAGUAGCAUAGCUAGCUAGAUCUCAAGUUGUAUAAUAAUGUCGAAAAUGAAAGCUUUAUAAUAGAAGUCAGAGUGUAGGUGUUGGUUGAAUUAACUUACAGCAAAAAUGGUAGCAUGGCCAGGAUCUGAAAGGUGGGCAAAGAGGUUGUCAAUAGGACCAGUGCCAGUAUAUAUAUGCUGGAACCAUGCACCCAUCACAGCCAACAUGGCCAAUCUACCAUUCUUGAUCUCCUUAGUUCUCAACUCCUUGAUCUUCUGGGGAGAGCCACUUCCCCAUCCAAGGGGGUCAAACCAAAGCCCACCUGGGUAACCAACAUCAGUUCCUGUGAGCUUGUUGUUGGGAAAGAUGGGGUCAGUGUUGACACACCCUGGCUUGAUUAUGUCAGCCCAUCUUCUACCCUCAGCCCACCCAAUGAAAAAGAGCUCAACAAUGAAGAGGGUAGUGGUGUCUGUGAAGUAUUCCUGUUCUCCAGCUGAGU